AUUCCGGUUGAUCCUGCCGGAGGCCAUUGCUAUUGGAGUCCGAUUUAGCCAUGCUAGUCGCACGAGUUCAGACUCGUGGCGAACAGCUCAGUAACACGUGGCCAAUCUCCCCCACAGCGACGGACACCCUCGGGAAACUGAGGCCAAUCCGCCAUACACCUCUCACGCUGGAGUGCCGAGAGGCUCAAACGCUCUUCGGAGUGCUGUGGGAUGAGGCUGCGGCCGUAUUAGGUAGACGGUGGGGUAACGGCCCACCGUGCCCAUAAUCGGUACGGGUCGUGUAAAGCGAGAACCCGGUAGACGGAAUCUGAGACAAGAUUCCGGGCCCUACGGGGCGCAGCAGGCGCGAUAACCUUUACACUGCACGCCAGUGCGAUAAGGGGACUCCAAGUGCGAGGGCAUAUCGUCCUCGCUGUCCUGUACUGUAGGGUAGUACAGAAGCAAGGGCUGGGCAAGACCGGUGCCAGCCGCCGCGGUAAUACCGGCAGCCCAAGUGAUGGCCACUCUUAUUGGGCCUAAAGCGUCCGUAGCU
RNAcentral lists this ribosomal RNA (532 nucleotides) under uncultured Halobacterium sp. Its description in RNAcentral is "bacterial SSU rRNA". It matches the Rfam family "Archaeal small subunit ribosomal RNA", at positions 1 to 526 of the family's 1478-position model. The record is from RNAcentral. Lineage: Archaea; Methanobacteriati; Methanobacteriota; Halobacteria; Halobacteriales; Halobacteriaceae.